GACGAACGCUGGCGGCGUGCUUAACACAUGCAAGUCGAACGGAAAGGCCCUGCUUUUGUGGGGUGCUCGAGUGGCGAACGGGUGAGUAACACGUGAGUAACCUGCCCUUGACUUUGGGAUAACUUCAGGAAACUGGGGCUAAUACCGGCUAGGAGCUCCUGCUGCAUGGGGGGGGUUGGAAAGUUUCGGCGGUUGGGGAUGGACUGGCGGGUUAUCAGCUUGUUGGUGGGGUAGUGGCUUACCAAGGCUUUGACGGGUAGCCGGCCUGAGAGGGUGACCGGCCACAUUGGGACUGAGAUACGGCCCAGACUGCUACGGGAGGCAGCAGUGGGGAAUAUUGCACAAUGGGCGGAAGCCUGAUGCAGCAACGCCGCGUGCGGGAUGACGGCCUUCGGGUUGUAAACCGCUUUCGCCUGUGACGAAGCGUGAGUGACGGUAAUGGGUAAAGAAGCACCGGCUAACUACGUG
RNAcentral lists this ribosomal RNA (468 nucleotides) under uncultured bacterium. RNAcentral describes it as "partial 16S ribosomal RNA". It matches the Rfam family "Bacterial small subunit ribosomal RNA", at positions 28 to 507 of the family's 1533-position model. The record is from RNAcentral.